AAACUUCCUAAGAAUACAUGAUAAUAUGAUUCCAUCCCAUUAUUGUAGUUAAACUAUUAUUUACUUUUCUAUACACACAUAGAGUACAACAACAUUUCCUUAACGUACGAGCAAGAAAACAUCGGAAUUCCGAAAGUUUGACAAGUCUCUCAAUCCCAAAUACCGGACCCUACGCAAAUUAUGGCAUUGUCGAUUCGUCUGGUUUUUUAGGACCUUCCAGUGAUAAUGUGUUUUGAAAUUACCGCUUUUGAUAAGAGGUACAACAAAUGUCCCUGAUUUUUCGUCGGCUUUGUAAUUGAUCCAUUAAAUGUGUAUGCGGAUCAUACAACCUUCUGACAAAUUUACAACGCAUAUGCACACUGACAAAAUUCGAUGUAAACACCUAAAGCGAUUCAACCGCCCGUAAAAUGAUGACAUGGAUUUCAAAAACAACAACAAAAUUCGAACUUUAGCUUUUACAUACUACUCCAUGUGCGUUUGUCUAUCCUUUGUAUAAGAUGCUCAUGAUGCAAAAAAAUACGGUCAGGGAGGGACUCGAACCCUCGACCUCACGAUUAACAGUCGUGCGCAAUAACCAACUAUGCUACCCGACCUUCUUGCUUACCU
Non-coding RNA from Schizosaccharomyces pombe (fission yeast), 606 nucleotides. The record is from the annotation of a GenBank genome assembly. Lineage: Eukaryota; Fungi; Ascomycota; Schizosaccharomycetes; Schizosaccharomycetales; Schizosaccharomycetaceae.